RNAcentral lists this ribosomal RNA (399 nucleotides) under uncultured bacterium. Its description in RNAcentral is "partial 16S ribosomal RNA". It matches the Rfam family "Bacterial small subunit ribosomal RNA", at positions 338 to 734 of the family's 1533-position model. The record is from RNAcentral.
CCUACGGGAGACAGCAGUGAGGAAUAUUGGUCAAUGGGCGCUAGCCUGAACCAGCCAAGUAGCGUGAAGGAUGACUGCCCUAUGGGUUGUAAACUUCUUUUAUAUGGGAAUAAAGUGCAGUAUGUAUACCGUUUCGCAUGUACCUUAUGAACAAGGAUCGGCCAACCCCGCGCCAGCAGCCGCGGUAAUACGGAGGGUUCGAGCGUUACCCGGAUUUAUUGGGCUUAACGUGAGCGUAGGCGGGUUGUUAAGUCAGUUGUGAAAGUUUGUGGCUCAACCGUAAAAUUGCAGUUGAUACUGGCAUCCUUGAGUACAGUAGAGGUAGGCGGAAUUCGUGGUGUAGCGGUGAAAUGCUUAGAUAUCACGAAGAACUCCGAUUGCGAAGGCAGCCUGCUGGAC